This 337-nucleotide long non-coding RNA is filed under the name Androctonus crassicauda. The record is from RNAcentral. Lineage: Eukaryota; Metazoa; Arthropoda; Arachnida; Scorpiones; Buthidae.
CAUUUCUACAAAACAGAAUGCAACACUGGAGAAUAAUUCUACAUGUCACUAUAAAUAACAAUUACAUAGCCACGAAAUCCAUACACAUUAGACGUGGUAUAUUUCAGGGCAAUUCCUUGAGCCAACUAUGGUUCUACCUUGCCCUAAAUCCAAUUUCCAACAAACUGAACACAUCAAAUUGUGGCUACAACAUUACGCGAAACCGAACAACACAUACAUCUUUUAUAUGUGGACAACAUUAAGCUGUAUGCCUCAAUACAAACACAAUUACAACAGCUGUUACAAAUCACACACACACAUUCUCAAAAGAUAUCUGCAUGGAGUUUGGCCUAGACAA